GUUAACUUUAUGGCAAAUAAUUCCAAAAAUACGAAGAUUCAUCGAGCUUUUAUCCCUCAAGGACACGUUCUGGUUCACGAAAAAUGGCAUGGAAGUGAACUGGUGAAGGCAAUUCAAGAUCACUACACAAAAGUAAUGUUUGAUGAUACAAUGGGCCUGGCAGACUUCUUACCAUCAAGUGAAGUAGCCAUGGCAUAUCUAACAGAAAGUGACCUUAUCAGCAGUGUUGAUUAUAAGACAAAGAUAUUGAAACUGUCAAAGGUGUACCAAAGAGUUCUAGUUUUGGCAGAGAGAACUUCAAUGAGUGAGCAGUACUUCCCUGCCCUACAACAUUUUGUUGUCAUGGAAAGGUCAUUGGUUCUAAUUCCCUUAACAAGUACCACUGAAGCAGCAAAAUGCAUUACACAAAUGGUGAAACUUGAGAAUAAACCUCUAAAUAACCCGUACCGUAUCAAACGAAAGCCACCAUCAUUUGAUACAUCAUUGCUAGCCACAGUUCAAAAUAUCCCUGGUCUUGGAGAGAAGAAAGCAAUGGAUCUCUUAAAAGAGUUUAAAAGCAUUGAGGGAAUAAGCAAUGGGAACUUCGAGAAAAUGUCUUCAGUCAUUGGAAAAUCUUCUGCACAACAAGUGAAAACAUUCUUUCAACAGUCUUUUCACAAAGACAAAAAAGUUUCAUGAAGGUUAUAUCAGCAGGAUGGGGAGACUGUUAUACUGGAGGCUCAUACAUGGAUGGAUGCUCAAGACGACANAACACACAGAACUUGGCAUUGUCAGCUUCCUCUAGCUGGGUGAUGGAGAAUGGCUUGCUGCAGAUUUGACACUGUAAAUAAAUGUUAAUAUAAAUAUGAACAUGUAUUAUGAAAAAUUCAAUAGACAGAGAAAAAUAGAAAGCAACUAGUUUAGCUUACAAAAAUAUCAAAAGUAGAUUAUUUAACAUAUAGAUUCCAUAUUUUCAUGCAUCAGUGUUAUAAUAAAUACACUGAUGAUGUCAAAAUGUGAUGAAUACAAAAGAAAAAUGUUAUGAAAUGAAGUCAGAGUUCUUUUGAAAUGAAAACUAUAAUAAAACUAUUAGGAAAUAAUAUUGAAAUAAAUUCUUACAUUGACUAUCCUGAGACCAAUAUUUUUCCUGUGUUCCAGUACCACUGGUAUAUCUUCACUGGAUUCUAUGUUCCACAAUCUGACCGUGUGAUCCUAUACGAAUCAAAAACAAAAUGCUGUGUUUCUGUUUUCUAGGUUCUGUUAAAUGACUGGUUUUAUUGUUGAUCAAGUCAUCCAAAGUUCCCCUCUGCACAUUGUCCAUUAUCUAAUGAUAUCCAAACAGCAAAACCACAUACUUCCCAUUGGCAGAAUCUGGAUGGCAACAAGUGAUAAAGGAUGAAUG
This 1381-nucleotide unclassified non-coding RNA is filed under the name Exaiptasia diaphana. RNAcentral's name for it is "fanconi anemia core complex-associated protein 24, transcript variant X2". The record is from RNAcentral. Lineage: Eukaryota; Metazoa; Cnidaria; Anthozoa; Actiniaria; Aiptasiidae.